This 1663-nucleotide ribosomal RNA is filed under the name Escherichia coli. RNAcentral's name for it is "partial 23S ribosomal RNA". It matches the Rfam family "Bacterial large subunit ribosomal RNA", at positions 1213 to 2853 of the family's 2925-position model. The record is from RNAcentral. Lineage: Bacteria; Pseudomonadati; Pseudomonadota; Gammaproteobacteria; Enterobacterales; Enterobacteriaceae.
ACUAUGUGUUGUUGGGUAGGGGAGCGUUCUGUAAGCCUGUGAAGGUGGCCUGUGAGGGUUGCUGGAGGUAUCAGAAGUGCGAAUGCUGACAUAAGUAACGAUAAAGCGGGUGAAAAGCCCGCUCGCCGGAAGACCAAGGGUUCCUGUCCAACGUUAAUCGGGGCAGGGUGAGUCGACCCCUAAGGCGAGGCCGAAAGGCGUAGUCGAUGGGAAACAGGUUAAUAUUCCUGUACUUGGUGUUACUGCGAAGGGGGGACGGAGAAGGCUAUGUUGGCCGGGCGACGGUUGUCCCGGUUUAAGCGUGUAGGCUGGUUUUCCAGGCAAAUCCGGAAAACCAAGGCUGAGGCGUGAUGACGAGGCACUACGGUGCUGAAGCGACAAAUGCCCUGCUUCCAGGAAAAGCCUCUAAGCAUCAGGUAACAUCAAAUCGUACCCCAAACCGACACAGGUGGUCAGGUAGAGAAUACCAAGGCGCUUGAGAGAACUCGGGUGAAGGAACUAGGCAAAAUGGUGCCGUAACUUCGGGAGAAGGCACGCUGAUAUGUAGGUGAAGCGACUUGCUCGUGGAGCUGAAAUCAGUCGAAGAUACCAGCUGGCUGCAACUGUUUAUUAAAAACACAGCACUGUGCAAACACGAAAGUGGACGUAUACGGUGUGACGCCUGCCCGGUGCCGGAAGGUUAAUUGAUGGGGUUAGCGGUAACGCGAAGCUCUUGAUCGAAGCCCCGGUAAACGGCGGCCGUAACUAUAACGGUCCUAAGGUAGCGAAAUUCCUUGUCGGGUAAGUUCCGACCUGCACGAAUGGCGUAAUGAUGGCCAGGCUGUCUCCACCCGAGACUCAGUGAAAUUGAACUCGCUGUGAAGAUGCAGUGUACCCGCGGCAAGACGGAAAGACCCCGUGAACCUUUACUAUAGCUUGACACUGAACAUUGAGCCUUGAUGUGUAGGAUAGGUGGGAGGCUUUGAAGUGUGGACGCCAGUCUGCAUGGAGCCGACCUUGAAAUACCACCCUUUAAUGUUUGAUGUUCUAACGUUGGCCCCUAAUCGGGGUUGCGGACAGUGUCUGGUGGGUAGUUUGACUGGGGCGGUCUCCUCCUAAAGAGUAACGGAGGAGCACGAAGGUUGGCUAAUCCUGGUCGGACAUCAGGAGGUUAGUGCAAUGGCAUAAGCCAGCUUGACUGCGAGCGUGACGGCGCGAGCAGGUGCGAAAGCAGGUCAUAGUGAUCCGGUGGUUCUGAAUGGAAGGGCCAUCGCUCAACGGAUAAAAGGUACUCCGGGGAUAACAGGCUGAUACCGCCCAAGAGUUCAUAUCGACGGCGGUGUUUGGCACCUCGAUGUCGGCUCAUCACAUCCUGGGGCUGAAGUAGGUCCCAAGGGUAUGGCUGUUCGCCAUUUAAAGUGGUACGCGAGCUGGGUUUAGAACGUCGUGAGACAGUUCGGUCCCUAUCUGCCGUGGGCGCUGGAGAACUGAGGGGGGCUGCUCCUAGUACGAGAGGACCGGAGUGGACGCAUCACUGGUGUUCGGGUUGUCAUGCCAAUGGCACUGCCCGGUAGCUAAAUGCGGAAGAGAUAAGUGCUGAAAGCAUCUAAGCACGAAACUUGCCCCGAGAUGAGUUCUCCCUGAGACUUAGAGUCUCCUGAAGGAACGUUGAAGACGACGACGU